Vicia faba (fava bean) is the source of this 240-nucleotide non-coding RNA. The record is from the annotation of a GenBank genome assembly. NCBI's taxonomy places the organism in Eukaryota, Viridiplantae, Streptophyta, Magnoliopsida, Fabales, Fabaceae.
AUGACUCUUCAGCUUCCACAAACUCAAAUCGAGCCUAAUCUCUUCCUUCUCAUCCUUUUCGAACCACAGACGUUAGGCGCCACCGUGCCAUCGUCUCCGGCAGCGGAACAAGGAAACAAUACCACCAAUUCCUCCAUAAUAUCCCCCUCUCUCCAAGUCCCUUACCAAUUUCACAUGAAACCUCUUCAAUCGUGCGGAUCGAAGAAUCGAAGGGAGAAAUCCCUAAGUCCCAGAAAAUGA